AACGAACGCUGGCGGCAUGCCUAAUACAUGCAAGUCGAACGAACACUUCGGUGUUAGUGGCGCACGGGUGCGUAACGCGUGGGAAUCUACCCUUGGGUUCGGAAUAACAGUUAGAAAUGACUGCUAAUACCGGAUGAUGACGUAAGUCCAAAGAUUUAUCGCCCAAGGAUGAGCCCGCGUAGGAUUAGCUUGUUGGUGAGGUAAAAGCUCACCAAGGCGACGAUCCUUAGCUGGUCUGAGAGGAUGAUCAGCCACACUGGGACUGAGACACGGCCCAGACUCCUACGGGAGGCAGCAGUAGGGAAUAUUGGACAAUGGGGGAAACCCUGAUCCAGCAAUGCCGCGUGAGUGAUGAAGGCCUUAGGGUUGUAAAGCUCUUUUACCCGAGAUGAUAAUGACAGUAUCGGGAGAAUAAGCUCCGGCUAACUCCGUGC
RNAcentral lists this ribosomal RNA (434 nucleotides) under uncultured bacterium. RNAcentral's name for it is "bacterial SSU rRNA". It matches the Rfam family "Bacterial small subunit ribosomal RNA", at positions 29 to 508 of the family's 1533-position model. The record is from RNAcentral.